This 6993-nucleotide long non-coding RNA is filed under the name Prunus persica (peach). RNAcentral's name for it is "long non-coding RNA (PPER_LNC005478)". The record is from RNAcentral. Lineage: Eukaryota; Viridiplantae; Streptophyta; Magnoliopsida; Rosales; Rosaceae.
AGGAAUUUGAUUUUCUAGUAUUUUUAUUUGAAUCCAAAUGAGAGGUACUUCUUUAUUUACAUUGUAAACUUAAGUAAAUGGAUAUUUAUUUUUAUAUUACUCCAUUUACUUAAAUAUUGAAAAUGAAAAUAAAGUAAUCUGUACAGUGUAAUUGAUUGGGCUAAUAUUAAAAAUAAAUUAAAUAUAUAGGUUAUACACAUUUUUUUUCCUUAAAAAACCACCCUAGGCUACAGCCCACUAUAGCCCAUAGUAUGGUUCCGCACUUGUUCCCUGCCCCAUUUGUAGUCGCCGGGUAGCAGAAGGGAAGUUGAUAACGACGGAUGGUCAAAUUUACAAGCUGGCCCAGAAUUGCAAAUGCCAUAGGUACUGUAUUGUGUGCAAAUGUUCUAGCCCUGGAUUUGAAACAAAUUUGGUAUUAAAAAAAAUUGUGAUCAAUGACAUGCACUAAUAAAGCGUAAUAUGUGAUCAAAGAUAGGCUCUCACAGUUAGUCAAGAAUCUUUAUGUGGAAUACAAAGGACGGUAAUGAACAUUUUCGUGGUGCACAUUGCUAAUUUAUCCAAAGGAAGCUAAAAAUUUGCAAAAUUUUGAACUUCCCAAUUAUUCCAUUACUUAAAAAAAUUGUGCAACAGCAACUUGUUUGAUCCUAUUCCAUAAUUAUGUACGCACUUAAAAAAAAACACACAAUUCAAAGAAGAGUGAACUUACUAGUCUCAAAGGGUGGCCUUUUUCACUCAGUGCACAUGAGGGGAACAAUGCAGUCUGAUUUUUUGGAUGGUGAUAUUUGCAAUUAGAUAUAAACUUACAAUCCCCUGUUCUUGAGAAGUAAAUGCAAGCAGGUUGCCCAGGUCGUUCUGGGAGUUGUUCAACUUGCUUCUGCUGUGGAUGUUGUUCAUAGGCGUUAGUUUCAGUUACCGAGUAGUUCAUAACAUAUGGUGGAGGGGUAGGCAUGCUACUUUCUGGAAGAUAUUCUAAAGCCUAAACAUGGCACAACCAAAAAAAUAAAUUGAAAUGAAAACCAUGCAUGCGAAAAUGCAAAAGAGAUGCCCAUGGCAGUUUAUGGCAAAUGUCAUAGCUACGGUAUUGUGUGGAAAUGCUCUGACGCUGGGAUUUGAAACAAAAUUUGUGUGAUCAAUGGCAUUGAAUAAUGAAGCGUAAUAUGUGAUCAAACACAGGCUCUCAGAGUCAUAGUUAGUCAAGAAUCUUUCUGCUGAGAGAGAGAAAAAAAAAAGACAUGUCCACAACUUUCACUACAAUCUCUUCCCAAGGUCAAAUUUGUGUCAGCAAUGAAUGUUUUCGUGGCACAUUGCUGAUUUAUCCAAAGGAAAAUAACAACUUGCAAAAUUUUGAAUUGUCCAAUUAUUCCGCGUUUAAAAAAAUAAAGCGCAACAGGUACUUGUUAGAUCAUAUUCCAUAAUUAUGCAUUCACUUUAAAAAGCACAAUUCAAAGAAGAGUGAACUUACUGGUCCCAAAGGGAGGCCCUUGUCACUCAGGACACUUCAGUGUGAUUGUUUGGAUACUGAUAUUUGCAAUUAGAUCGUUCUGGGAGUUCUUCAACUUGCUUCUGCUGUGGAUGUUGUUCAUAGGAAUUGGUCUCAGUGACUGAGUGAUUCAUAACAAAGGGUGGAGGUGCAGACAUGCUUUUUUCUGGUAGAUAUUCUGGAGCCUAAACAUAGCACAACCAAAACAAAUAAUUGAAGGGAAAAGCAUGCAUGCGAAAAUGCAAUAGAGAUGCUCAUGGAAGUUGAAUAUUGCGAAUGACAUAGCUAUGGUAUUGUGUGCUAACGUUCUGACACUGGUAUUUGAAACAAAGUUAGUACAAAAUUUGUGUGAUAAAUGGUAUGAUAUAAUUAAGUGUAAUAUGUGAUUAGGCUCUCAUAAUUAGUCAAGAAUAUUUAUGUCGAAAGAGACAUGUCGGUUUUCUACACCAAAAAAAAAGAAAAAAGAGAGACAUAUCGACAACUUUCACUACAAUCUCUUCCCAGGGUCAAAUUUGUAUUAGUAAUGAAUACUUUCGGGGCACAUUGCCAAUUUAUCCAAAGGACGCUAAAAGUUUGCAAAUUUUUGAAAUUUCCAAUGAUUCAAUCACUUAAAGUAUUGUACAGCAGGUACUUGUUUAGAUCAUAUUCCAUAAUUAUGUAUUCACUUUAGAAAGCACAAUUCAAAGAAGAGUGAAUUUACUGUUCUCAAAGGAAGGCCCUUGGCACUCAGUGCACACGAGGGGGACACUGCAGUCUGAUUUUUUUGGAUGGUGAUAUUUGCAAUUAUAUUUAAACAUACAAUCCCCUGUUCUUGAGAACUAAAUGCAAACAGGUUGCCCAGGUCGUUGGAGGAGUUUUUCAACUUUCUUCUGCUGUGGAAGUUGUUCAAAGGUGUUGGUUUCAGUCACUGAGUGGUUCAUAACAUAGGCGAGUUGCAGGCAAGAUUCUUUCUGGUAGAUAUUGUGGAGCCUAAACAUUGCACAACCAAAAACAUUUGAAGGGAAAACCAUGCAUGCGAAAAUGAAAAAGAGAACAGUAGUACUCCUAUUAUACUAGUUGAAUGCACGCGAGAGAGGGAGAGAGAGAGAGAGAGAGAGAGAGAGGUCAUAUUACUAGUUUCAUGAGAAAAAUGAAUAAAAAAUAACAUAGAACAAAAAGGUUAACACAAAAAAGAUUUAUUUGAAAUCUUAUCCCUUAAGAAAUGUUAAUUGGUGUAUCAAAGUGAUGAUAGUUAGUCAAACUGAAGACUAUAAUAUGGGAGUGAUGAAUAAAAGUACCUGAACCAUUCCAUUCUGUAUUUUAGGAAGGAAUCCCUUUGAUAUGGUGGAAUCAUCAUCUUUUUUAAGAAAAGCUUGAACGUUGACAAAGGGAUAGUUUAGCCAAGAUUGGGUUCAUCCAAAAUUUCAACCAUUGUCAAUAGAUACGGGGGUUUAAGUUAAGAUCCUUUUAGCUCCGCAAAAGACAAAGCAGUAUCUACACCAUUUAAUUUAAAACCCUAAUUCUUUGAGGAGGUGAUUUGAUCACCACCCUCCUUUGCUACUUCCACCAUCAGAACCCUUGCCCCCAAGAGCUUGCUGCUUUGCCCCAUGAAUUAGUCAGUUUUGCACCUUCUUCAGUUCCUUGUUUUGCCUCACCAGAUUGAUUCCAACUAGAGGAUUGACCCCCGCUUGCAGCACUUGAUUGCUUCCAGUCAGAUGAUUGACCUCCAACAGCAGCACUUGGUUGCUCUCCGGUACCGCCUCCAAAUCCUGAACCUGUUCCUUUGUUCCAACCUGAACCCUGGUUGCCCCAGCCCCCAGCUUGUGCGUUUGAGCUCGGUCCCUUGUUCCAGCCGCCGUCUUGAUCAGUGUUUCCUUUGACUUCUUUGGCUGCAGUCGAUUGUUUCCACCUAGACGAUUGGUCCCCAUUAGAAGCAUCUGAUGAUUUCCAAUUGUUUCCCCAGCUUGUGCCCACUUCAUUAUGAGAACCUGUUCCCUUGUCCUGAGUGCCAGCAGUAUAUUUAGCCUCAACUGUCUGAUUCCAACCUGAUCCCGAACCACCAAUUCCUUUAGUCACAUCAGACUGGUUCCAACCGGAGCUCUGGCUACUCCAUCCGCUAGAGUUCCUACCCUGCCAAUCGUUCUUACUGCCACCUCCUUGGUUCCAACUUCCUCCACCUUUGUCCCUUUUCCAUCCCUCGCCAGCACCGUCUGCCCCUUUGCUCCAGCCUGAUGAGUUAUUAUCAAUAGAUUCAUUUCUAUUGCUCCAACCACCACUUUGAUACCUCCCACGGCCUCUUCCUCCGUAGCCUCUACCACCAAACCCUCCUUUGUCUGAUCUACCUCUACCACCAAAGCUCCCUCUGUCUCCGCCUCUACCACCAAAACCCCAUCUACGUCCAAAACCCCCUCUAUCCUCCUCUCUAUCACCACCUCUACCUACAAAACCCCGUCCACCUCUAAAACCUCCUCCGUCUGAAUUUCCUCUACCUGAACCACCUCUCCAAUUCCCACCACUUCGAUUAUUAUUGAAAUCCUCAGGUUGGUCUCCAUUCACACCAUCCAUUGAUUGACUGCCACCAAAAGAACUUGCCCUCUUCCAACCAUUAUCUUGAUUCCCCACUCCGCCAGACUCAUGUCCUGCUGUUACAUCAGCUUGUUUACCCCAUGAAGACCAUCCAGCUUGUUUACUCCAAUAAGAAUCUCCUGCUGGUUUAUUCCAAGCAGAACUGCCAUCUUGUUUAUUCCAAGUAGAACCUUCACCUUGUUUGUUCCAUGUAGGAUCUCCAUCUUGUUUAGUCCAAGUAGAACCUCCAUCUGAUUUACCCCAGGAAGCUCUUCUAUUGUCAUCUACACCACUUGGUUUCUUCCAACUGUCAUUCUGAUUCUCAUUAAUAAAAGCAGGUUUUGUCCAGCCACUUGCUUCAUCUUUGUUUCCUGCCUCUGAUUGGGCCCAAACCCCAUCUGCAUUACCCCAGCUUCCUAUCUGAACAUGCGGACUCACCAUUGGCACAUAAAGCGGAGCAUCAUUCAAUGAUCUUGGUGCAGACCAUGGUGCUGCUGUUGAUGACGAUGCACCUUGUAAUGAUGCGGAUCCGCCAUUACCACAUCCAGAUGGGGGUUCAGAUUCUCUUGCAGCUGUAGGAUCAGGGUGAUUAAACCUGCAGUUUGUACCAAACAUGCAGGAGGCAUUUCGCAUAUAGAAGGAACAGUCUUUCUCCCCCUGUAACAAGUUAAAAUAAAUAUUCAGGUAGCACACCAAUAAAAUAAGCAAAGAUAAAUCAUAAAUCUUAAACAUCAUGAAUAGAUAUUCAUUCCUCAAAAUUUUGCAGAUCAAACCUAGAAUUCAUACCGGUCGAAUUGGCAGGCCCAGAAAGUUACAUUCUGGAAUUGGAGCUACGGAAGGUUCCCCUCUUCCGGGAUUUAAACUACAAGCUUUUUCAUAUUUACGUCCUCCUGACCUGGAAUAAUCCUGCAACAAGCUCAAGUGUUAUACCCCAUCAUCAAAACACAAAAAACUACUUAAUACCAAAUAUAUGAAGUAAAACAAAAUCUAGACAUGAGGAACAAACAAUUGCAGUAAAAACCAUAACUUGAGAUAGAAAGUUUCUGAGAAAUCAUAACGAAAAUAACCUUGCAUUCGGUCUGGCCUGGCUUCUCUGCUGCCAACCCGUCCCUUUCCUUCAUCUUGUCCUUGGACACCUUCAAUUAAUAUGAUAAUCAGUCUCAAUCUUCCAACCAGAAACAUAAAUAUGCAAAUGCUGAAGGAAAAAGAAGAGAGAUAUACCUGAUUGUUAUAAAGCUCAUCAUGGACGUCUGGGUCGAAUUUUCGAAUCUUAUCAAGCAGGGCAGGGUCGAGUUUCCGAAUUUUAUCAAGGCGGGCAUCAAGUUUCCGAAUCUCUUCAAGGAUGGCAAGAUCGAGAUCAGAGAGUUCAGCAUUUGGCGGAACGUCGGGAUUUGGGAGGCCGAUGGGAGCUGUCAACAUCACUGCUGAUCGUGUUUUUGAUGAAGGAAGCUGGGUUGCUGGGUUUGCUUACACCCUGCAGUGCCAGUCACAUAUCAUCACACAUCUGAUUACCACGGCAUUGAAUUCGAGUUUGAUUCCCUUCCCUUUAGUUUUGGCUUGUGGAAAUUGGGCCAGUGUUUUGAUUGGUAAAAUCAAAGUCACCUGCUUUUUCCUUUUCUCUUUCCGUCCUGAAUUUUUCUUCGUCUCGAAGAAAAACUCACGACAGGAAACAUUGUGGACUUGAACCUUCUCCUUCAAUCACAAACACCAACCUCCUUUAUGUGUUAUUUGUUUGAGUUGCUUAAUUUCACUGACCUAUUACCAAAAAAAAUUCAAACCCCAUUUACCAAGCCCAAAACCAAAGUAUGAUAUCCUUCUUAGUAAAGUUAUACCUAAUUUGUAUUUAAAAGAAAACCCCCUCUCUAUCCCUUGUUGGCGGUAGUUUUGGUUUUGGAGGGACUAAAAAGUUAUCCAUUACAGAAGUGGCCAAUUGAAGAUACUCGGGAAGUUAUCCAUUCCAUCAAGUUCUCACAUCUGAAACUGAAAGGCCUGUGGCAGCUGGGAUAAAAAGUUUGAUACAUUUCCAAGACUAAAUAACAUAAAAGGAGUUGCAUGUCCUUGGUGAUGCGAAUCCUGUGCUCUAGCAUCCAUUUCAGUUUUCAUGCAAAACUUAUUACAGUGGCUGCGACUGAUUGUAGCAUCAGUUCUACUUCUACUUCCAGAUGUUCCCUGCCCCAUUUGUAGUCGCCGGGUAGCAGAAGGGAAGUUGAUAACGACGGAUGGUCAAAUUUACAAGCUGGCCCAGAAUUGCAAAUGCCAUAGGUACUGUAUUGUGUGCAAAUGUUCUAGCCCUGGAUUUGAAACAAAUUUGGUAUUAAAAAAAAUUGUGAUCAAUGACAUGCACUAAUAAAGCGUAAUAUGUGAUCAAAGAUAGGCUCUCAUAGUUAGUCAAGAAUCUUUAUGUUGAAUACAAAGGACUGGUAAUGAACAUUUUCGUGGUGCACAUUGCUAAUUUAUCCAAAGGAAGCUAAAAAUUUGCAAAAUUUUGAACUUCCCAAUUAUUCCAUUACUUAAAAAAAUUGUGCAACAGCAACUUGUUUGAUCCUAUUCCAUAAUUAUGUAUGCACUUAAAAAAAAACACACAAUUCAAAGAAGAGUGAACUUACUGGUCUCAAAGGGAGGCCUAUGUCACUCAGUGCACAUGAGGGGAACAAUGCAGUCUGAUUUUUUGGAUGGUGAUAUUUGCAAUUAGAUAUAAACUUACAAUCCCCUGUUCUUGAGAAGUAAAUGCAAGCAGGUUGCCCAGGUCGUUCUGGGAGUUGUUCAACUUGCUUCUGCUGUGGAUGUUGUUCAUAGGCGUUAGUUUCAGUUACAAUCCCCUGUUCUUGAGAAGUAAAUGCAAGCAGGUUGCCCAGGUCGUUCUGGGAGUUGUUCAACUUGCUUCUGCUGUGGAUGUUGUUCAUAGGCGUUAGUUUCAGUUACUGAGUAGUUCAUAACAUAUGGUGGGGGGCAGGCAUGCUUCUUUCUGG